Molecule: unclassified non-coding RNA, 381 nt
Filed under: Hevea brasiliensis (rubber tree)
Lineage: Eukaryota; Viridiplantae; Streptophyta; Magnoliopsida; Malpighiales; Euphorbiaceae
Source: RNAcentral
CAGUGUAUUCAGCCAACUUCAGCAACAGAGUUUGACGACUCAGUGGAAGUAUCAGAAGUCAGGGAGCUUGAAGCUGUCUCUACCUCGGAUAGAAUUGCUCCAUCUCCCUUGGUUUCAGGACCCAGGACAUUGCGAAAACUGAGAAUUCUUUGCCUUCAUGGCUUCCGCCAGAAUGCUUCUGGUUUCAAAGGCAGAACUGCAUCGCUGGCCAAGAAACUCAAGAGCAUUGCAGAGCUUGCCUUUGUGGAUGCACCUCAUGAAUUGUCAUUCGUUUAUCAAAUUCGUAGAAACUGUGAUUCUGCAUCAGAAAUGGAAAAUAACCGUCCACCCUCAGAGAAUUGCAGUAAAAAGUUCUCAUGGUUAGUUGCACCUGAUCACAAG